RNAcentral lists this ribosomal RNA (484 nucleotides) under uncultured bacterium. RNAcentral describes it as "partial 16S ribosomal RNA". It matches the Rfam family "Bacterial small subunit ribosomal RNA", at positions 28 to 523 of the family's 1533-position model. The record is from RNAcentral.
GAUGAACGCUGGCGGCGUGCUUAACACAUGCAAGUCGAACGAUGAAGGGGGAGCUUGCUCCUCUGGAUUAGUGGCGAACGGGUGAGUAACACGUGAGCAAUCUGCCCCUGACUCUGGGAUAAGCGCUGGAAACGGCGUCUAAUACCGGAUACGAGCCAAGCAGGCAUCUGCAUCGGUUGGAAAGAACUUCGGUCAGGGAUGAGCUCGCGGCCUAUCAGCUUGUUGGUGAGGUAAUGGCUCACCAAGGCGACGACGGGUAGCCGGCCUGAGAGGGUGACCGGCCACACUGGGACUGAGACACGGCCCAGACUCCUACGGGAGGCAGCAGUGGGGAAUAUUGCACAAUGGGCGGAAGCCUGAUGCAGCAACGCCGCGUGAGGGACGAAGGCCCUCGGGUUGCAAACCUCUUUUAGCAGGGAAGAAGCGAGAGUGACGGUACCUGCAGAAAAAGCACCGGCUAACUACGUGCCAGCCGCCGCCGUAA